AGAGAGAGUUGAGAGUGGGCUUGGUGGGCCAUCACCCCCACCGCCUCACUCUCCUCUCUUUUCCUUAAAUACACACACAAGCAUAUUACAUACACACAUGCAUAACACACACACAUAAAAAGUGAGGCUUGCUCUUGCGCAGGAAAGAAAGAAACAGAGGAUACGGGGUGAGGUGAAAGGACCGACAAUUAGCGAUUGAGUAAAAAGAAACGUUGUGAGGUUGAGGAGUAACUUUGAGAUAUCUGACUGUUGAAGAAUAGGUCUACACACUAUACUCAGUCAGGUCGGGCCAAUAUGUUGUUUCUCCUUUUUGUCAGCUCUGUACAAAUCUUAUUUUGUUUGUAUAAAGAGAACGUAGGAGUGGAGAUUAACUGUGGUGGACUAUUCGAGGUGUUUGAUUUGUAUAUAUGAUGUUGUGGGUUGAUUAUGUUGUUAUGACGUUGGGGUUACGUAUUCAUAUGGAUUAAAUUAUUAUGUGCAUUUAUAUUUAUAAACACAGGGAUUGCUAUAAGUAUGACGUUUAGGGUAGAUAUAGCCCUUGUAGCGAAGGGGGUGCUACACAAGAAUACCGAGUGGUGGAGAGCAAUAAAAAAUUAUGAAAAGUUACUUGCAAAUAUGAUGAACAGACUGGGUGCAAUUGGAUGAUAAAAGUCAUAUUCAAAUCAAACAUGGGAUUAUUUAAAGUUACCAAGUAUGUCGGACCACAUACAUGCCUAAUGAAUGAGAUUUCUAUUGACCAUGGUAACUUAGGAAAGAGUAUGAUUGCAACACAUCUGUUGGGUAUGGUUCGUCAAGGCCCAUCUUGUGAUAUAAAAUAUGUCCAGCAGAUUGUGAAAAAUAGAUUUAGUUUUAAAAUCCCAUAUCAUAAGGCAUGGCAUGCUUUGAAAGCAGCUAGAGAACAAGUGUAUAGUACUUGGGGGAGUUCUAUUCAGAAAUUACCCAGAUAUAUGGCGGCAUUGUAAAAAUAGAAUCCGGGGACCGUUGUGGAGUGGUUGCAUGUGGAAACAGAUAGACCGGGACAGUACAUGUUGAAUUAUAUUUUUUGGGCUUUCAAACCAUGCAUUGAGGGAUUUCGCUAUUGUCGAGACGUUAUAAGUGUAGACGGAACCCAUUUGUACACGAAGUACAAGCAUAAACUGAUGGUAGUAAUAACUUUAUAUGCAAAUCAACAGGUGCUGCCGUUAGCGUUUCCACUCGUGGAUGAAGAAUCACUUGCGUCAUGGCGUUGGUUCCUAAACAUGCUUUCCAAAUAUCUAUUAUCGUGUGAGGAUGACAGAGUUUGUUUGAUUUCAAACCGACAAACUGGUUUGAUAAAUGUUAUAUAUCAUAUACCCACAUUCAAAUUUCCUCGCGGAGUACAUCAAUUUUAUUUACGUCAUGUCUGUUCGAAUUUUAACAACAAAUUCAAAAACAUCGAGUUGAAAGAUUUGGUUGGAGAGCUGGGGCAGAAGUCAAUUCUUGCAAAUUUGAUAGAAUAAUGGAAGAAAUCAAAGCAUUGAACGAGGAAGCAUAUAAUUGAACGGGUUAUCUUCAUCACACGUAUUUUCAAGUAAACAUUUUCGUGUAACACUGUUAGUUUUAUUCUGGACUAUCUGAAAGCAUUUUCAUCCGGCAUAAAACUCAACUAUUGAUGAUAAUAAUUUUGCUACUGUUGAGUACUAUACCUUAUAUCUACCCCGGUAAUAAGAUUACCUUCUACCGGGAGUGCCCAGAUGAUAGCGAUGUCAUACAGUGUUACAGUUGCCUCGCCAACCAAGAAACUGAAAGUAUGCGUCUCGGGACGCCAUCUCUCGACUAAUGCAGUUAUUAGGUAGGUGUUAAUCUCAAUAUGCCCACACUGUAAAACACCCAAAAACUCCAUAUUCUGGAGCACUUGCAAAACACAAGUGUGACGUGGGACUAAUUGAAUGACGUGAAAAAAAGAUGUCACCGCGUCGUACAUAUAAAGUUGUAUCCGGAGCUCCAAACACAUCUUACGAUGAAUGAUUUAAUUGUUCAUACAAAACACUUGUAUCAAUAGGACCAAAAUUAGCCAUAAUCACUCAAAAAAAUUUCUUCUUUUUUAAUUCUCUACAAAUUUUCACACCUUUUGAACUUUUUCUUCUACCUUUCUCGAUUGAAAAGUGUGAAAUGAAAAUUUUUUCUCUCGGGUGAGAAGUGUGCAAUGGUGAAAAGCUUGAAUUGCAGCUCACACUUAUGCAAUUCACGAGUGAAUAGUGCUGUUGUGCCACCGCUGGCUCAACCAACGAUGGCACAGCACCAUUGUCACAAAUCAGCUUGCAAAAUUGCAGGCUGCUUUGACCCUAUUUUUUUCUAUUUAAUUCAGUGAAGAACCGCUAUCUCAUAUAGCAGUUCUUUCACUGUUUAGUUUUUUUUAUUAUAAAAUUAUGUCACUCCGUCCAGUGAAUGGGGUGACUAGUUAAAUUCAAAUUUGUUUUUUACAAAAUCAGUCACUGCGAUUUUGAAUCGUGGUGAUUGAUUAAACACUUUUUUUUUUAAGAAAAAUUGUGGCAUCACAUUUUAAGAACGCGGUGCCACUCCAAAUUUUAAAACUUUCAAUUUCACUGCAUUUUUUUAUUUUUUUAUUAAUUUCCCCAUAAACUUGGGGCUAUUUUCGGCCAAUUCUAAAAAUAACUCAUAAUGAUACAAAUAUAUUUAGAGAAGUUGGUUUUCCUAAAUUUAAUCUCUGCAUCCAAUUUCUUAAUUUAAAUCCUA
Long non-coding RNA from Sesamum indicum (sesame), 2715 nucleotides. RefSeq lists it as uncharacterized. Lineage: Eukaryota; Viridiplantae; Streptophyta; Magnoliopsida; Lamiales; Pedaliaceae. The record is from RefSeq and is a predicted model, not a curated record.